Colius striatus (speckled mousebird) is the source of this 287-nucleotide long non-coding RNA. RefSeq lists it as uncharacterized. The record is from RefSeq and is a predicted model, not a curated record. The transcript has 4 exons. NCBI's taxonomy places the organism in Eukaryota, Metazoa, Chordata, Aves, Coliiformes, Coliidae.
UAAAAGAGUAUGAAUCUAGUAGUGACCUGGGUAUGUAAACAGGAAUACGAUAUUCUGGAGAAAAUGAACACAGCAUAAUUUGGGGUAAAAGGUGCAAAAGCCCCACAACUUUAAAGCAGUACAGCUGGAUAUUUUGAAAGUAGAUAUAGGCAUUGAAACUGGGAUUUUCAUCAAAUGUGGGAGUCCUCAAGCAAGAAAGCAGAUGCAGCAGCCUCUAAGGAGUUCAGAAAUUCCUGCCUGCCAGAGGUUUUACUGUAAGCUCCUUAAGCAAACCAACGAAGUUAGAG